GCUCAACAUGUUGAUGAACUGAGGGAGCUAUUUGAAACCUGGGAACCAUUGUGCAGUAAAAUUUAUUUUGUCCUGCAAGCUGAACCAUUGAUUGGGAAAAUUCGAACCUGUAGCCUGGAAGUACUUGAGCUCCUUAAAUCUUCUCAUAAAAGCCUUCCUGCUGAUGUAACUUUGACAACUCUUGAGCUCUAUAUACUGAAAAUUAAGUAUGUUGAUUAUGAAUU
Molecule: unclassified non-coding RNA, 224 nt
Filed under: Hevea brasiliensis (rubber tree)
Lineage: Eukaryota; Viridiplantae; Streptophyta; Magnoliopsida; Malpighiales; Euphorbiaceae
Source: RNAcentral